CCCAGUAAACGGCGGCCGUAACUAUAACGGUCCUAAGGUAGCGAAAUUCCUUGUCGGGUAAGUUCCGACCCGCACGAAAGGCGUAACGAUUUGGGCACUGUCUCAACAACAGACUCGGUGAAAUUGUAAUUCCGGUGAAGAUGCCGGAUACCUGCGACAGGACGGAAAGACCCCAUGGAGCUUUACUGUAGCUUGACAUUGGGUCUUGGUACUACAUGUACAGGAUAGGUGGGAGGCUUUGAAACCAGGACGCCAGUUUUGGCGGAGCCAUCCUUGGGAUACCACCCUUGUAGUACUGGGACUCUAACCAUAGGCCAUGAAUCUGGUCUUGGGACACUGUCAGGUGGGCAGUUUGACUGGGGCGGUCGCCUCCCAAAAGGUAACGGAGGCGCUCAAAGGUUCUCUCAGUACGGUCGGAAAUCGUACGUAGAGUGUAAAGGCAAAAGAGAGCUUGAUUGCAAGACAUACAGGUCGAGCAAGGAUGAAAAUCGGACUUAGUGAUCCGGUGGUUCUGCGUGGAAGGGCCAUCGCUCAACGGAUAAAAGCUACCCUGGGGAUAACAGGCUUAUCUCCCCCAAGAGUCCACAUCGACGGGGAGGUUUGGCACCUCGAUGUCGGCUCAUCACAUCCUGGGGCUGUAGUAGGUCCCAAGGGUUGGGCUGUUCGCCCAUUAAAGUGGUACGCGAGCUGGGUUCAGAACGUCGUGAGACAGUUCGGUCCCUAUCCGUCGCAGGCGUAGGAAAUUUGAGAAGACCUGUCCUUAGUACGAGAGGACCGGGAUGGACGUACCUCUGGUGUACCAGUUGUCCUGCCAAGGGCAUGGCUGGGUAGCUAUGUACGGAAUGGAUAAGCGCUGAAAGCAUCUAAGCGCGAAGCCAACUUCAAGAUAAGAUUUCCCACCGCAAGGGUAAGACCCCAGAAAGACUAUCUGGUUGAUAGGUCGAAGGUGUAAGUGCAGCAAUGUAUUUAGCUUAUCGAUACUAAUAGGUCGAGGACUUGACCAA
RNAcentral lists this ribosomal RNA (1004 nucleotides) under human gut metagenome. RNAcentral's name for it is "bacterial LSU rRNA". It matches the Rfam family "Bacterial large subunit ribosomal RNA", at positions 1919 to 2925 of the family's 2925-position model. The record is from RNAcentral.